UAUCCUUUCAAAAAUCAUCUAAUUAGUAAGUAAUGGUUAAUCGUGUCAAUGUUUUAUUUGACGUGGACAAAAAUGAUUCACAUCAACAUUUCGUUUGAGAUAAGUGGCAAUUAUUUAAUUAAAAAAUGAAAUUUAUUUUCCACUUCAUCUUCUUCUUUCUCAAGCUAUGACUUUUCCUCAAAUCUCUACCACAAGCUUGUUCAUGUACAUUCACCCAGAUUGAUAUGCAUUCCCCUGCUUAACCAAAGACAUUGUUGGUGGUGACAACUAUAAUUGGAAGCCUUAGCUACCUAACAUAGACCUUGACUGUGUCAUCUAACAACACCCUCUCACUCCAUCAUCUUCUCUUCCCUAAACUCAACUAAAACCAAUAUUCUUUUCUAAAAACCUUUAACUUCUCCAACCCAAACGCGCUUCCCAAUUUUUUUUUUCU
This 433-nucleotide long non-coding RNA is filed under the name Vigna radiata. RNAcentral's name for it is "long non-coding RNA (VRAD_LNC007337)". Lineage: Eukaryota; Viridiplantae; Streptophyta; Magnoliopsida; Fabales; Fabaceae. The record is from RNAcentral.